Molecule: ribosomal RNA, 566 nt
Filed under: uncultured bacterium
Lineage: Bacteria
Description: partial 16S ribosomal RNA
Rfam family: Bacterial small subunit ribosomal RNA
Source: RNAcentral
UGGGGAAUUUUGGACAAUGGGCGAAAGCCUGAUCCAGCAAUGCCGCGUGUGUGAAGAAGGCCUUCGGGUUGUAAAGCACUUUUGUCCGGAAAGAAAUCCUUGGCUCUAAUACAGUCGGGGGAUGACGGUACCGGAAGAAUAAGCACCGGCUAACUACGUGCCAGCAGCCGCGGUAAUACGUAGGGUGCAAGCGUUAAUCGGAAUUACUGGGCGUAAAGCGUGCGCAGGCGGUUUGCUAAGACCGAUGUGAAAUCCCCGGGCUCAACCUGGGAACUGCAUUGGUGACUGGCAGGCUAGAGUAUGGCAGAGGGGGGUAGAAUUCCACGUGUAGCAGUGAAAUGCGUAGAGAUGUGGAGGAAUACCGAUGGCGAAGGCAGCCCCCUGGGCCAAUACUGAUGCUCAUGCACGAAAGCGUGGGGAGCAAACAGGAUUAGAUACCCUGGUAGUCCACGCCCUAAACGAUGUCAACUAGUUGUUGGGGAUUCAUUUCCUUAGUAACGUAGCUAACGCGUGAAGUUGACCGCCUGGGGAGUACGGUCGCAAGAUUAAAACUCAAAUGAAUUGAC